GUCAAAACAGGCUAUAUAAACCACUAUAUGUUUCAUUCAUUUAUGAAUACAUAGGAGUACCAACAGUUAGAGUUUUCGGUAACAAAAUAACUAAAUAUUUAGUUUAGUUGGUAGGUAUAUACUUGAAAGAGUGUUAUGAUUGGACAAUACUUGUGAUAUGUAAUGAACUUAACCAUCCACCUGCUCAACAAUGGAGGGGCAAACAUAUGCAAUGAGAUUAUCUAAUAAUGAAAACCAUUUGGUGGAGGCUAUGGAGCCACAUAACAUUCUUCCAACACUAGAGACCCGAAGGCCGAAAAUGUGGCUACUUUCAAAACCAUGUACAAUGCACGUCAAAAAGCGUAAGCCAACCAAGUUAGAACAACUCUAAUGCAGGUUCUUUUCUCAACCUUGCAUUAUAAUGGAACCAUAGGAACUCAUGUUCAUCAAGUUGGAACAACUCCAAAAGAUGUUAGCCGUCUACAUUUCACUUUCAUCCUCCUCACGUUGGAGUUGGUAUGUGGCUUAUAUAUGAUGGACAAGACUAAGACUGGUCCUUUUUCUUGGGGUAUUGAAAUAACUCGGAAUAAUAAUAAUAAUAACAAAAAAUAAUAAUAUUAAUAAAAAUACUAAUAAUAAAUGAUAUUUAUAAUAGAAAUAAUAAUAAGGAUGUAAGAUAGAUUUUGAAUUAAUAUUCAAAUACCAUUUUUCUUCUCAACCUUACUUGCACUAACCACCACAACCCUGUAUUGAGAAAUUUGUGAUCUCAUCCCCACAUCUCGUUCAACCCUUUAAAAAUUCUGGAAACCAUAACAUAGUCAUGAAACCUUCUACUUCCAUAUCUCUCUCGUUGCCUCCCGAAAUCCCUUUACAUUUAUGUUAAUUGUAUAAGUAGCGAAAGCACUACACCGCCACUAUAACCACUUCUAUGAAGAACCUGCAAGGGAACAUUCUGACCUAGAAACCCCAUUUAUUGCACUUGUAGUAAAUCAUUGAACUCUCGUUUCCGCUAUAUUCUAAAUCUUAGUAAUGGACCAAGAGAAAUCAAAAUAAAAAGUUUUGCACAAGUAAAGUAAUGAAACUCCAUGUUUUGUUAAUUAAUCCAGUUUAACACAUGAAAAAAAAAAGAAAUAAUAAUAAUAAUAAUAAUAAUAAUAAUAAUAAUAACAAUAAUAAUUAAGUUCGUUAGUUUGUAUUUUGUUGAUAUUAAGGCACUGUUUGCAAAGUUGUUCCAUUUGAUGGAGACUAGUUAGUGAAUGGAGAAGGGCAAAAGAAAGCUGAAGAAUUACUUGAGGAAGUUAUGCUUUCCCUGACCCUCAAUGACUUAAGGGGAAAUCAUACUCAAAUUCAUAAUGUUUGUUCUACAUUCAUACAGACGUUAAGUUUAAGGGUAUGUGAUGGUGUUUAUGAUGAUGCGAUGAUUAGAGCGCGGGAAGAAUGGGACAAAAAGCAUUUUCCAGAGAAUGAUCAUCCUACUGAGUUUGCUGAGAAGCAGCGUUUUGUUGUGCUUGUUCAAGAACACGGAGGGCAGGAUCUGGAGAGUUUUGUGCUACUGGACUUUAAUGAAGCACGCAGUUUGCUUGUUCAAGUAUGUUCUUUCAUGGUGACUCUAAACUAUGAAUGAGUUGACCUGGGUUAUGUUUUAUCUCUUAUGGGUCAAAUCCGCUAAAACGAAUUAGUUGAAAGCUUGGUUUAAAAAAGCGCGUCUUAAGCGCGCGUAAGCCCAAAGCAACCCUAGGCACCUUAAGCUUGGUCCCUAAUAAUAUUUGUUCGGCAUCAAUGCUAUUUCUUCGGCA
Helianthus annuus (common sunflower) is the source of this 1775-nucleotide RNA transcript. It is a transcript of the gene named serine/threonine-protein kinase haspin homolog, with no coding region annotated. The transcript is spliced from 5 exons. NCBI's taxonomy places the organism in Eukaryota, Viridiplantae, Streptophyta, Magnoliopsida, Asterales, Asteraceae. The record is from RefSeq and is a predicted model, not a curated record.